Schistocerca piceifrons (Central American locust) is the source of this 281-nucleotide long non-coding RNA. RefSeq lists it as uncharacterized. The record is from RefSeq and is a predicted model, not a curated record. NCBI's taxonomy places the organism in Eukaryota, Metazoa, Arthropoda, Insecta, Orthoptera, Acrididae. The transcript has 3 exons.
GUACAUAGAUCUCAGUCCCAAUUUCUCCAGUGUACUUGUGGGCAUUGGUCAUAUGAUUUCUGUGACCCCAGGAUUCGUGUCCGCUGCAGUUGUCGGUGCUUUGACAUACAAAAAUCAAUCAUCUGAACAGUGGAAGAAAUUUUUCCUUAUAUCAGCAAGCAUCCUUUUAGCUCCUGGCUUGCUACACCUCCUGACAUCAUCAUCCAAAGUACAAGAGUGGAACUUCCCAAAGUCUAUGGCAAAAGAAAUGAAAGAUAGUAUCUCUGAAAAUGAUGUGGAAG